CGGAGGGUGCGAGCGUUGUCCGGAUUUAUUGGGUUUAAAGGGUGCGUAGGUGGCUUUUUAAGUCAGUGGUGAAAUACAGCCGCUCAACGGUUGAGGUGCCAUUGAUACUGAAAAGCUUGAAACAAGUGGAGGCUGCCGGAAUGGAUGGUGUAGCGGUGAAAUGCAUAGAUAUCAUCCAGAACACCGAUUGCGAAGGCAGGUGGCUACGUUUGAUUUGACACUGAGGCACGAAAGCAUGGGGAGCAAACAGGAUU
This 254-nucleotide ribosomal RNA is filed under the name uncultured bacterium. RNAcentral describes it as "partial 16S ribosomal RNA". It matches the Rfam family "Bacterial small subunit ribosomal RNA", at positions 526 to 779 of the family's 1533-position model. The record is from RNAcentral.